RNAcentral lists this non-coding RNA (80 nucleotides) under marine eukaryotic metagenome. RNAcentral describes it as "Cyclic di-GMP-I riboswitch". It matches the Rfam family "c-di-GMP-I riboswitch aptamer". Rfam says of the family: GEMM was predicted in a large-scale screen for bacterial structured RNA regulatory elements. Genes associated with GEMM are involved in a diverse array of functions, including chemotaxis regulation, signal transduction, secretion and chitin. The record is from RNAcentral.
UCGAUAAAGGUAUACCCGUUGAAAAGCGGGGUCGAAAAUCCACCGGUCUACGGGAAACUCCUAAAGCAGCGGGGCUACUG